GACGAACGCUGGCGGCGUGCUUAACACAUGCAAGUCGAACGGAAAGGGCCUGCUGUUUUGUUGUGCUCGAGUGGCGAACGGGUGGGUAACACGUACGUAACCUGCCCUCGACUUGGGGAGAACUUCAGGAAGCUGGGGCGAAUACCGGAUCGUAGCUCCUGCUGCAUGGAGGUGGGUGGCAAGGUUAAGCGGUAGGGGUUUGACGGGCGGCUAAGGAGCAUGUUGGUGGAGUAGUGGCAUACCAAGGCUUUGACGGGUAGCCGGCAUGAGUGGGUGACCGGCCACAUUGGGCCUGAGAUACGGAGCAGACUCCUACGGGAGGCAGCAGUGGGGAAUAUUGCACAAUGGGCGGAAGCCUAAUGAGGCAACGCCGGGUGCGGAAUGACGGCCUUCGGGUUGUAAACCGCUUUCGGCUGUGAAGAAGCGUGAGUGACGGUAAUGAGUAAAGAAGCACCGGCUAACUACGUG
RNAcentral lists this ribosomal RNA (468 nucleotides) under uncultured bacterium. RNAcentral describes it as "partial 16S ribosomal RNA". It matches the Rfam family "Bacterial small subunit ribosomal RNA", at positions 28 to 507 of the family's 1533-position model. The record is from RNAcentral.